AUUGUCUCUUCUCGGACUGUUGGCCGUGUUGUCCGUGGUCGCCCUCCAUUCUGCCGCGGCAGAGGGAGAACCGCGUGAGGAGGACGGGUCAAACACCGCCCUGACGGAGCUCGAGAUGCGAGAGCUGGAAGAGGCACUGCGUGAGUUGGAUGCUUCCGAGUACGAGGUUCGCCAAGCACUGGCAGCCGAACACCUGCAGAAACGAUUCUUCAAAGAAAUAGCGGAUUUCGUGAAAAAAAUCAGGGGAAAAAUCAAAAACUGGUUCAAAGGAUCAAAAUCUGGUGCUCCGGCU
Long non-coding RNA from Pristis pectinata (smalltooth sawfish), 292 nucleotides. RefSeq lists it as uncharacterized. The transcript is spliced from 5 exons. The record is from RefSeq and is a predicted model, not a curated record. NCBI's taxonomy places the organism in Eukaryota, Metazoa, Chordata, Chondrichthyes, Rhinopristiformes, Pristidae.